Molecule: non-coding RNA, 420 nt
Organism: Danio rerio (zebrafish)
Lineage: Eukaryota; Metazoa; Chordata; Actinopteri; Cypriniformes; Danionidae
Source: RefSeq, a predicted model, not a curated record
UGACUGGGAUCAAAUGCAGGGCGAAAACUUCCAAGUCAGGGAAAGAGACAGAAUUAUGUGAAGAGUCAUCAAUGGCGAGGAUCAAAUGCAGUGCAGAAACUUCCACAUCAGGGAAAGAGACAUUUCGCCAUGAAGUACACAGUGCUGUUAUUUCCAGUUUGCAUUCUUGCGAUGAUUGUAGUGGUCCUAUGUUAAGUAGAAAAUGAAGACUUCAACUUGCAAAUACACCAAAUCAAGGAAAGUUAUGAUAAAAUUAUGGAGCACACUGAAGUGGAUGCAGUCAUGGAACAUUUUAAAAGGACACCUCACCACAAAAGCAGAGCGUGAUCAAUGCAAGAUAGCAGAAGACAAAGUUUUUUUCCCUCUCCGCUGUCGCGACCAGCUUGCAUGGCUUGGGAUCGGUAGAGCUACACAUCGAUG